RNAcentral lists this ribosomal RNA (254 nucleotides) under uncultured bacterium. Its description in RNAcentral is "partial 16S ribosomal RNA". It matches the Rfam family "Archaeal small subunit ribosomal RNA", at positions 474 to 727 of the family's 1478-position model. The record is from RNAcentral.
CCCCAGCGCCACCAGUGGUGACCGAUUUUAUUGGGCCUAAAGCGUCCGUAGCCGGCAUAUUAAAUCUUUUGUGAAAUUGUUGGGCUCAACUCAACAGCGUGCAGAAGAGACUGGUAUGCUUGGGACUGGGAGGGGUUAGAGGUAUUUUUGGGGGAGCGGUAAAAUGCUAUAAUCCUAAAAAGACCACCUGUGGCGAAGGCGUCUAACUAGAACAGAUCCGACGGUGAGGGACGAAAGCUAGGGGAGCGAUCCGG